Non-coding RNA from Myriangium duriaei CBS 260.36, 91 nucleotides. The record is from the annotation of a GenBank genome assembly. NCBI's taxonomy places the organism in Eukaryota, Fungi, Ascomycota, Dothideomycetes, Myriangiales, Myriangiaceae.
GUCAUCGUGGCGCAAUGGUAGCGCGCCAGACUUCUAGUAUUUUAAGAUACAUGUAAUCUGGAGGCUGCGGGUUCGAGCCCCGCCGUUGAUA